Non-coding RNA from Bos taurus (domestic cattle), 73 nucleotides. The record is from Rfam. Lineage: Eukaryota; Metazoa; Chordata; Mammalia; Artiodactyla; Bovidae.
UCCCCAGUGGCUCAAACGGUAAAGAAUCUACCUGCAAUGCAGGAGACCCAGGUUCAAUUCCUGGGUUUGGGAA